UGAACGCUGGCGGCGUGCCUAACACAUGCAAGUCGAACGAAGCAUAUGAAACGGAGAUCGUCGAAGAUUCAUAUGACUUAGUGGCGGACGGGUGAGUAAUGUAUGAGCAACCUGCCUUUCAGAGGGGGACAACAGUUGGAAACGACUGCUAAUACCGCGUAAUGUAUCACAGAGGCAUCUCUGAGAUACCAAAGGAGCAAUCCGCUGAAAGAUGGGCUCAUAUCUGAUUAGCUUGUUGGCGGGGUAACGGCCCACCAAGGCGACGAUCAGUAGCCGGACUGAGAGGUUGAACGGCCACAUUGGGACUGAGAUACGGCCCAGACUCCUACGGGAGGCAGCAGUGGGGAAUAUUGGGCAAUGGGCGAAAGCCUCGACCCAGCAACGCCGCGUGAAGGAAGAAGGUCUUCGGAUUGUAAACUUCUUUUAUGAGGGACGAAGGACGUGACGGUACCUCAUGAAUAAGCCACGGCUAACUACGUGCCAGCCGCCGC
RNAcentral lists this ribosomal RNA (491 nucleotides) under uncultured bacterium. RNAcentral describes it as "bacterial SSU rRNA". It matches the Rfam family "Bacterial small subunit ribosomal RNA", at positions 30 to 518 of the family's 1533-position model. The record is from RNAcentral.